AACGAACGCUGGCGGCGCGCCUAAUACAUGCAAGUCGAGCGGUAAGGCCCUUUCGGGGGUACACGAGCGGCGAACGGGUGAGUAACACGUGGGUGACCUGCCCUCAGCUCUGGGAUAAGCCCGGGAAACUGGGUCUAAUACCGGAUAUGACUCCAUGACGCAUGUUGUGGGGUGGAAAGCCUUGUGCGGCUGAGGAUGGGCCCGCGGCCUAUCAGCUUGUUGGUGGGGUGAUGGCCACCAAGGCGACGACGGGUAGCCGGCCUGAGAGGGCGACCGGCCACACUGGGACUGAGAUACGGCCCAGACCCCUACCGGGAGGGCAGCAGUGGGGAAGUCUUGCGCAGUGGGCGGAAAGACCUGACGCAGCGACGCCGCGUGAGGGA
RNAcentral lists this ribosomal RNA (383 nucleotides) under uncultured bacterium. Its description in RNAcentral is "bacterial SSU rRNA". It matches the Rfam family "Bacterial small subunit ribosomal RNA", at positions 28 to 408 of the family's 1533-position model. The record is from RNAcentral.